This 243-nucleotide ribosomal RNA is filed under the name uncultured bacterium. Its description in RNAcentral is "partial 16S ribosomal RNA". It matches the Rfam family "Bacterial small subunit ribosomal RNA", at positions 534 to 776 of the family's 1533-position model. The record is from RNAcentral.
CCAAGCGUUAUCCGGAUUUAUUGGGUUUAAAGGGUGCGUAGGCGGGUUAUUAAGUCAGUGGUGAAAGCCUUCAGCUUAACUGAAGAACUGCCAUUGAUACUGAUGAUCUUGAGUAUGAUUGAGGUUGGCGGAAUGUGUCAUGUAGCGGUGAAAUGCUUAGAUAUGACACAGAACACCGAUUGCGAAGGCAGCUAACUAAGCCAUAACUGACGCUGAUGCACGAAAGCGUGGGGAGCAAACAGG